Molecule: ribosomal RNA, 465 nt
Filed under: uncultured bacterium
Lineage: Bacteria
Description: partial 16S ribosomal RNA
Rfam family: Bacterial small subunit ribosomal RNA
Source: RNAcentral
GACGAACGCUGGCGGCGUGCUUAACACAUGCAAGUCGAACGGAAAGGCCCUGCUUGCAGGGUACUCGAGUGGCGAACGGGUGAGUAACACGUGGGUGAUCUGCCCUGCACUUCGGGAUAAGCCUGGGAAACUGGGUCUAAUACCGGAUAGGAGCCAUUUUUAGUGUGAUGGUUGGAAAGUUUUUUCGGUGUAGGAUGAGCUCGCGGCCUAUCAGCUUGUUGGUGGGGUAAUGGCCUACCAAGGCGGCGACGGGUAGCCGGCCUGAGAGGGUGGACGGCCACAUUGGGACUGAGAUACGGCCCAGACUCCUACGGGAGGCAGCAGUGGGGAAUAUUGCACAAUGGGCGCAAGCCUGAUGCAGAGACGCCGCGUGGGGGAGGACGGCCUUCGGGUUGUAAACUCCUUUCGCUAGGUACGAAGCUUUUUGUGACGGUACCUAGAUAAGAAGCACCGGCUAACUACGUG